This 958-nucleotide ribosomal RNA is filed under the name Enterococcus faecalis. RNAcentral describes it as "partial 23S ribosomal RNA". It matches the Rfam family "Bacterial large subunit ribosomal RNA", at positions 22 to 1020 of the family's 2925-position model. Lineage: Bacteria; Bacillati; Bacillota; Bacilli; Lactobacillales; Enterococcaceae. The record is from RNAcentral.
GGGUGGAUGCCCUGGCAGUCAGAGGCGAUGAAGGACGUGCUAAUCUGCGAUAAGCGUCGGUAAGGUGAUAUGAACCGUUAUAACCGGCGAUUUCCGAAUGGGGAAACCCAGUGUGUUUCGACACACUAUCAUUAACUGAAUCCAUAGGUUAAUGAGGCGAACCGGGGGAACUGAAACAUCUAAGUACCCCGAGGAAAAGAAAUCAACCGAGAUUCCCCCAGUAGCGGCGAGCGAACGGGGAGCAGCCCAGAGCCUGAAUCAGUGUGUGUGUUAGUGGAAGCGUCUGGAAAGGCGCGCGAUACAGGGUGACAGCCCCGUACACAAAAAUGCACAUGCUGUGAGCUCGAUGAGUAGGGCGGGACACGUGGUAUCCUGUCUGAAUAUGGGGGGACCAUCCUCCAAGGCUAAAUACUCCUGACUGACCGAUAGUGAACCAGUACCGUGAGGGAAAGGCGAAAAGAACCCCGGCGAGGGGAGUGAAAAAGAACCUGAAACCGUGUACGUACAAGCAGUGGGAGCACGCUUAGGCGUGUGACUGCGUACCUUUUGUAUAAUGGGUCAGCGACUUAUAUUCUGUAGCAAGGUUAACCGAAUAGGGGAGCCGAAGGGAAACCGAGUCUUAACUGGGCGUUAAGUUGCAGGGUAUAGACCCGAAACCCGGUGAUCUAGCCAUGGGCAGGUUGAAGGUUGGGUAACACUAACUGGAGGACCGAACCGACUAAUCUUGAAAAAUUAGCGGAUGACUUGUGGCUGGGGGUGAAAGGCCAAUCAAACCGGGAGAUAGCUGGUUCUCCCCGAAAGCUAUUUAGGUAGCGCCUCGUGAAUUCAUCUCCGGGGGUAGAGCACUGUUUCGGCAAGGGGGUCAUCCCGACUUACCAACCCGAUGCAAACUGCGAAUACCGGAGAAUGUUAUCACGGGAGACACACGGCGGGUGCUAACGUCCGUCGUGAAGAGGGA